RNAcentral lists this ribosomal RNA (465 nucleotides) under uncultured bacterium. RNAcentral describes it as "bacterial SSU rRNA". It matches the Rfam family "Bacterial small subunit ribosomal RNA", at positions 338 to 795 of the family's 1533-position model. The record is from RNAcentral.
CCUACGGGCUGCAGCAUUGGGGAAUAUUGCACAAUGGGCGCAAGCCUGAUGCAGCCAUGCCGCGUGUAUGAAGAAGGCCUUCGGGUUGUAAAGUACUUUCAGCGGGGAGGAAGGUGUUGUGGUUAAUAACCAAAGCAAUUGACGUUACCCGCAGAAGAAGCACCGGCUAACUCCGUGCCAGCAGCCGCGGUAAUACGGAGGGUGCAAGCGUUAAUCGGAAUUACUGGGCGUAAAGCGCACGCAGGCGGUCUGUCAAGUCGGAUGUGAAAUCCCCGGGCUCAACCUGGGAACUGCAUUCGAAACUGGCAGGCUAGAGUCUUGUAGAGGGGGGUAGAAUUCCAGGUGUAGCGGUGAGAUGCGUAGUGAUCUGGAGGAAUACCGGUGGCGAAGGCGGCCCCCUGGACAAAGACUGACGCUCAGGUGUGAAAGCGUGGGGAGCAAACAGGAUUAGAUACCCCCGUAGUC